This 329-nucleotide unclassified non-coding RNA is filed under the name plant metagenome. RNAcentral describes it as "partial contains 5.8S ribosomal RNA, internal transcribed spacer 2, and large subunit ribosomal RNA". The stretch from base 1 to 105 matches the Rfam family "5.8S ribosomal RNA", at positions 50 to 154 of the family's 154-position model. The record is from RNAcentral.
GAAAUGCGAUAAGUAAUGUGAAUUGCAGAAUUCCGUGAAUCAUCGAAUCUUUGAACGCACAUUGCGCCCUCUGGUAUUCCGGGGGGCAUGCCUGUCCGAGCGUCAUUGCGAACCCCCCAAGCACGGCUUGUGUGAUGGGCCCUCCCGCGUCUUGGUCGUCAAGACGGGCCCGAAAUGCAGUGGCGGCUUCGCGGUUAUCCGAUCAGCCAGAGCGUAUGGGGACUUUCUCUCUGUCACACGCCCGCGGCGCGGACCGACGCCUGUCGACCUUCAUUCAUCGUUUUCUCGGUUGACCUCGGAUCAGGUAGGGAUACCCGCUGAACUUAAGC